CCUACGGGGGGCAGCAGUGGGGAAUAUUGGACAAUGGGGGAAACCCUGAUCCAGCGACGCCGCGUGAGUGAAGAAGUAUUUCGGUACGUAAAGCUCUAUCAGCAGGAAAGAAAAUGACGGUACCUGACUAAGAAGCCCCGGCUAACUACGUGCCAGCAGCCGCGGGAAUACGUAGGGGGCAAGCGGUAUCCGGAUUUACUGGGUGUAAAGGGAGCGUAGACGGCAGCGCAAGUCUGGAGGGAAAUGCCGGGGCCCAACCCCGGAACUGCUCUGGAAACUGUACGGCUGGAGUGCAGGAGAGGUAAGUGGAAUUCCUAGUGUAGCGGUGAAAUGCGUAGAUAUUAGGAGGAACACCAGUGGCGAAGGCGGCCUGCUGGGCUUUUACUGACGCUGAGGCUCGAAAGUGUGGGGAGCAAACAGGAUUAGAUACCCCAGUAGUC
RNAcentral lists this ribosomal RNA (440 nucleotides) under uncultured bacterium. RNAcentral describes it as "partial 16S ribosomal RNA". It matches the Rfam family "Bacterial small subunit ribosomal RNA", at positions 338 to 795 of the family's 1533-position model. The record is from RNAcentral.